AUGCCUUCCCCGGAGGCCUGCCUCCUUCUCGAGUCGGUGGUGAACACCCAGGCCCAGAAGGCAUCUGGGAUGACCUUUAAAGAAAGCCUGAUGGGUAACGCCUCCCCCGGACUGUUAACAGCCUCAGGCCUUGAUGAGCCCGCUUCCUCCGCUGUGACACGGCGAUGCGCCUCCGCUGUGACACGGCGAUGCGCCUCCGCUGACCGCCCGGGGCGCAUCGUGCGCGCAGCUCGGGGGCAGAAGGCUGCGGAGGGCUGGGGUGGGGUCAGGGCGCCUGCACUAGACAGACGGUGCCUGAAUCCAGGCUGUCGCUCAGGAGCCCCUGCCGCGGUGGGGACUUAGAGACCUCUUCUAAACUUGCUCAGACUGAGCGAAAAGUCCGAAACACCAGGGCGAUUCUAACUGCCUCGCGGGUCGUGAUGAGGAUGGAGAGCGACCACAGCGCCUGGCCACGGCGUAAACGCGCGGGCACACGGAGAGGACAGGACUUCCCGCGGCGGGCUGAAAGGACGCGCGGGAGGACCUGCGGUCUCGGCAAACCCUGCCCUCGGGC
Molecule: long non-coding RNA, 553 nt
Filed under: Ovis aries (sheep)
Lineage: Eukaryota; Metazoa; Chordata; Mammalia; Artiodactyla; Bovidae
Description: lncRNA (ENSOARG00000026558.1)
Source: RNAcentral